UACGUAGGCAGCGAGCGUUGUUCGGAGUUACUGGGCGUAAAGGGUGUGUAGGCGGUCCUCUAAGUUUGGUGUGAAAUCUCCCGGCUCAACCGGGAGGGUGCGCCGAAAACUGGAGGGCUAGAGUGCGGGAAGGGAGAGUGGAAUUCCUGGUGUAGCGGUGAAAUGCGCAGAUAUCAGGAAGAACACCAAUGGCGAAGGCAGCUCUCUGGGACGGUACUGACGCUGAGACGCGAAAGCGUGGGGAGCGAACAGG
RNAcentral lists this ribosomal RNA (253 nucleotides) under uncultured bacterium. RNAcentral's name for it is "partial 16S ribosomal RNA". It matches the Rfam family "Bacterial small subunit ribosomal RNA", at positions 524 to 776 of the family's 1533-position model. The record is from RNAcentral.